UACGUAGGUGGCAAGCGUUGUUCGGAAUUAUUGGGCGUAAAGGGCGCGUAGGCGGUUUGUUAAGUCAGCUGUGAAAACUCGAGGCUCAACCUCGAGACGUCGGCGGAAACCAUCUGGCUAGAGUCCGGAAGAGGAGAGUGGAAUUCCUGGUGUAGCGGUGAAAUGCGCAGAUAUCAGGAAGAACACCCGUGGCGAAGGCGGCUCUCUGGGACGGUACUGACGCUGAGACGCGAAAGCGUGGGGAGCGAACAGG
This 253-nucleotide ribosomal RNA is filed under the name uncultured bacterium. Its description in RNAcentral is "partial 16S ribosomal RNA". It matches the Rfam family "Bacterial small subunit ribosomal RNA", at positions 524 to 776 of the family's 1533-position model. The record is from RNAcentral.